CAGGCGGAUACAACUCUGUGUAGGAAUCAAGAUUCAAUGGAGAAUUUAUUGAAUUUUUCUCAGAGUUUCUCUGCUACACAUUUUGAGGGAAAAUCUGCAUUCCAGAACCAUUUUAGCUUCUUUGAAUCCUCCUUUGCUGAAAAGCCAGCUUCAGAAGAAGCAGGUGGUUUUCAUGGAAGAAAUUGGAAAUGACAUCUUUAGUCUCUACUGCAGCAGUUGUUGCACAGAGACAGAGAUACAGAUGAGAGGGCUGUAAAAGAUAGCGUGAGAUCUCAAGAGGAUAUUGUUCAUCCUUUUUUUUUUUUUUUUCCUUCAAUUCUACUCCUUUUUAUCUGUGAUUGUGAAUGCAGUGGGAAACAA
Alnus glutinosa is the source of this 360-nucleotide long non-coding RNA. RefSeq lists it as uncharacterized. The record is from RefSeq and is a predicted model, not a curated record. NCBI's taxonomy places the organism in Eukaryota, Viridiplantae, Streptophyta, Magnoliopsida, Fagales, Betulaceae. The transcript is spliced from 3 exons.